Molecule: ribosomal RNA, 492 nt
Filed under: uncultured bacterium
Lineage: Bacteria
Description: partial 16S ribosomal RNA
Rfam family: Bacterial small subunit ribosomal RNA
Source: RNAcentral
AGUGAACGCUGGCGGUAGGCCUAACACAUGCAAGUCGAACGGCAGCACAGUAAGAGCUUGCUCUUACGGGUGGCGAGUGGCGGACGGGUGAGGAAUACAUCGGAAUCUACUUUUUCGUGGGGGAUAACGUAGGGAAACUUACGCUAAUACCGCAUACGACCUACGGGUGAAAGCAGGGGAUCUUCGGACCUUGCGCGAUUGAAUGAGCCGAUGUCGGAUUAGCUAGUUGGCGGGGUAAAGGCCCACCAAGGCGACGAUCCGUAGCUGGUCUGAGAGGAUGAUCAGCCACACUGGAAUUGAGACACGGUCCAGACUCCUACGGGAGGCAGCAGUGGGGAAUAUUGGACAAUGGGCGCAAGCCUGAUCCAACCAUACCGCGUGGGUGAAGAAGGCCUUCGGGUUGUAAAGCCCUUUUGUUGGGAAAGAAAAGCAGCAGGUUAAUACCCCGCUGUUCUGACGGUACCCAAAGAAUAAGCACCGGCUAACUUCGUG